This 387-nucleotide ribosomal RNA is filed under the name uncultured eukaryote. RNAcentral's name for it is "SSU rRNA". It matches the Rfam family "Eukaryotic small subunit ribosomal RNA", at positions 587 to 972 of the family's 1831-position model. The record is from RNAcentral.
AGCUCCAAUAGCGUAUAUUAAAGUUGUUGCAGUUAAAAAGCUCGUAGUUGGAUUUCUGGUGGGGCUGUCGGCCUGGCUCCGAAAGGGGUCGGCGCUUGUACACGCCUGGCCAUCCUCGGGGGAAGCUUUGCUGGCAUUAAGUUGUCGGCGGAGUGACGCUCGUCGUUUACUGUGAACAAAUUAGAGUGUUCAAAGCAGGCUUAGGCCGUUGAAUACAUUAGCAUGGAAUAAUGAGAUAGGACUUUGGUGGUCUAUUUUGUUGGUUUGCACGCCGAAGUAAUGAUUAAUAGGGGCGGUUGGGGGUAUUCGUAUUCAAUUGUCAGAGGUGAAAUUCUUGGAUUUAUGGAAGACGAACUACUGCGAAAGCAUUUACCAAGGAUGUUUUCA